RNAcentral lists this ribosomal RNA (610 nucleotides) under mouse gut metagenome. Its description in RNAcentral is "bacterial LSU rRNA". It matches the Rfam family "Bacterial large subunit ribosomal RNA", at positions 2320 to 2925 of the family's 2925-position model. The record is from RNAcentral.
GCUAGGUACGGUCGGAAAUCGUGCUGAUAGUGCAAUGGCAAAAGCGUGCUUGACUGCGAGAGCAACAACUCGAGCAGAUGCGAAAGCAGGUCAUAGUGAUCCGGUGGCUCUGAAUGGAAGGGCCAUCGCUCAACGGAUAAAAGGUACUCUGGGGAUAACAGGCUGAUACCGCCCAAGAGUUCAUAUCGACGGCGGUGUUUGGCACCUCGAUGUCGGCUCAUCUCAUCCUGGGGCUGUAGUCGGUCCCAAGGGUAUGGCUGUUCGCCAUUUAAAGAGGUACGUGAGCUGGGUUUAAAACGUCGUGAGACAGUUUGGUCCCUAUCUGCCGUGGGCGUUGGAAGAUUGACGGGGGCUGCUCCUAGUACGAGAGGACCGGAGUGGACGCACCUCUGGUGUACCGGUUGUCACGCCAGUGGCAUUGCCGGGUAGCUAAGUGCGGAAGAGAUAACCGCUGAAAGCAUCUAAGCGGGAAACUUGCCUGAAGAUGAGUCUUCCCGGAGGUUGAACCUCCCUCAAGAGUCGUCCGAGACCAGGACGUCGAUAGGUCAGGUGUGUAAGCGCUGUAAGGCGUUGAGCUAACUGAUACUAAUUGCUCGUGAGGCUUGAUCCU